CACCGCGGUUAUACGAGGGACCCAAGUUGAUAAGUAUGGCGUAAAGGGUGGUUAAGAAGAGUAAUAAUAAAGUCAAAGGGCCUCCUGGCUGUCAUACGCUUCCGAGCAUCCGAAACCCAAUAAACGAAAGUAGCUUUAAUAUAACCCACCUGACCCCACGAAAGCUGAGAAA
Molecule: ribosomal RNA, 172 nt
Filed under: Schistura sp. CBM:ZF:14803
Lineage: Eukaryota; Metazoa; Chordata; Actinopteri; Cypriniformes; Nemacheilidae
Also listed under: 3 other names
Description: partial 12S rRNA
Source: RNAcentral